Long non-coding RNA from Oncorhynchus tshawytscha (Chinook salmon), 377 nucleotides. The record is from Ensembl. Lineage: Eukaryota; Metazoa; Chordata; Actinopteri; Salmoniformes; Salmonidae.
UAGUAGUAGUAGUAGUAGUAGUGGUGGUGGUGGGGGUAGUAGUAGCAGUAGUAGUGGUGGUGGGGGUAGUAGUAGCAGUAGUAGUGGUGGUGGGGGUAGUAGUAGCAGUAGUAGUGGUGGUGAUGGGGGUAGUAGUAGUAGUAGUAGUGGUGGUGGGGGUAGUAGUAGCAGUAGUAGUGGUGGUGGGGGUAGUAGUAGUAGUAGUAGUAGUGGUGGUGGGGGUAGUAGUAUCAGUAGUAGUAGUUGAUGGGGCUUUCUGCACAGUACACACUAAGAGGUAUUGAAAACGCUCUACUUUAUGUUUGAUUGAGGGAGUGGGCCACGGUCAAUUUCUCAAUCUAGAUAUUCAUUGGAACAUGCUAUAUAGAACCUGUUGC